UCUUUUCAUGUACAAAUGCUCUAUUCUCAUCUCCAAUUCCGUCCAAAUCUUUUGAAGUGUAACUAAUUACUUCCGUUCCCAUUAUUUGAUAGCAUUGAUUGACACUGUUUUAAUUGUAACGAUCAAUACUACAUUCAAUUGACCAGUAAUACAUGUUAACUGUUCCUUAAACAAUAUACCAUACUAUAAAUAUUUGUAAAUGUCAAACAAUGUUUGAGUGCUGAUGAUGAUAAUUGAGAAUCUAGGGGUAGUAAAAACUGGACUACUACAUCUCAUCGGGAUUCAGGACACCGGAAGGGCAAGAAAAAGGAUUUUCUUAAAAGAUAUCAUCGAAUAAUUAGGAGUUAUCCGUUGCUUUGCAUCGAAUAAAUUUGAUUUUAUUAUCCUACACAGAUAGUAUAUGUAGUAGAAAUUU
RNAcentral lists this long non-coding RNA (415 nucleotides) under Oryza brachyantha (malo sina). RNAcentral describes it as "long non-coding RNA (OBRA_LNC000417)". Lineage: Eukaryota; Viridiplantae; Streptophyta; Magnoliopsida; Poales; Poaceae. The record is from RNAcentral.